UACGUAGGGUGCGAGCGUUAAUCGGAAUUACUGGGCGUAAGGCGUGCGCAGGCGGUUUUGUAAGACAGGUGUGAAAUCCCCGGGCUUAACCUGGGAACUGCAUCUGUGACUGCAAGGCUAGAGUAUGGCAGAGGGGGGUAGAAUUCCACGUGUAGCAGUGAAAUGCGUAGAUAUGUGGAGGAAUACCGAUGGCGAAGGCAGCCCCCUGGGUCAAUACUGACGCUCAUGCACGAAAGCGUGGGGAGCAAACAGG
RNAcentral lists this ribosomal RNA (253 nucleotides) under uncultured bacterium. Its description in RNAcentral is "partial 16S ribosomal RNA". It matches the Rfam family "Bacterial small subunit ribosomal RNA", at positions 524 to 776 of the family's 1533-position model. The record is from RNAcentral.